Molecule: long non-coding RNA, 3153 nt
Organism: Drosophila nasuta
Lineage: Eukaryota; Metazoa; Arthropoda; Insecta; Diptera; Drosophilidae
Exons: 5
Source: RefSeq, a predicted model, not a curated record
UGAAUCGUCUAGUAGAAUGCUUCUUGCAUUGAGUCUGGUGUACGCGCCCUCUUAGCGCAACGCGUAAUUUCCCUAACGCCUACUUUUCUCGAACAUGUGCAAUUUUGUGUAUCAUUUGUCAUUUGUUUUGUGAGUGUUGUACAAGAAAGUUGGUUUUUUCCUGCGCGUCUUUUAUAAAACAAUAAGAGGUAAGUUGUUAAUAUUAUUAAACUACUAUUCUAAUCUGAUUUAAAUUAAAAAAUAUAUUUGUAUUUGUAUUUAUAUUUACAGUUUUGAGGACCACGAAAGAGCUACGUUGGAUGAUAAAAAUAGAAACUACAAGGCAUUGUUCAGGGCGAAGAAUAUUGAAAACGGCGAAAUAAAUUAAUUUUUUCUUUUAGCUAUUAUAUUAUUUAGUUAUAAGUAAAACUGUUUAGAUAAUAUUAUAUAUAAAUUUAAGUACUCAUUGUAUUAGUUUUAAUAAAUUUAAUUUCAAGUAUAAUAAACAUUUUAUUUACUGCAUAUAUUUUUGAGCGUAUUUUUAUUUUGCAUAUUCCGAACUACGCACUAGAAUCUAAGCACAGAUUUUCGGCAAGAGCUGCACCGCAUAUUUUCUACAAGAAACGUCGAGUACAAAUUCUGCCAGCGCAGCCGAGGGAAAUUUAAAUUUCCCUUUGGCAAGAAUUUAUACUCGACGAGUCUUGUAGAUAAUCAGUUCCGCAUAUACACAAGACGGGACUGGAAGAAAACUUGUAUAUUGUCUACUAAUAAAACUCAAUUGGGUUUCCAUUGGCACGAACCGAGAAAUAUGGACAACGGUAAAAUUCUCAAUAUGGCCGCUCUGAAAUGUCAGCUGUUCAAAUGUAAACAAAAGUUGGCGCACAAUUUAAAAACUGUACGCGAAUAAUAUAACAACAAAGAUUUGGAUUUGUUUCCUCUCGUUGUGUGCGCGACUACUAAAAUAUAUCGCUAUACGCUCUUAUUUUAAGUGAGCAUUUUGUAUUCAAUAAAAUCUUGACAUCGCAAGGCACAGACAAUCACAAUUUAGUUUGCAAUUUUAUUAUUUAUUAUUUAUUUAUUAUUUAUCUGUUAGUUUUUAUGGAAAUCAAUCAUCUCAUCGCCUUCCGUACAAUUCUUUAAAUGUUUAAAUGUUUUAUUCAUACAAAUUAUAGGUCUAUUUCACGAAUCUCCCUGGACUUUCAAUUGCAAUUUGUUUGGCUCAGCUCGACCUUUGAAAUUAUUCCUACUUAAAAUGUGGAAAACUUUGAGGCCGACAUAUUGAGGUGUUUGCUGCUUUUUAAACGAGUCCGCAAAUUUGUCAUAUUCGCCCUGCCUGCCAGUAAUUAUGUAUUAUAAUUGAUUUAUUGAUUAUAAUAGUAAAAUUGUUUGACUUACCAGCUGAGAUUGACAUCAAAUGUUCUUUACAUUUGAGGUGGCGGCAAGUUCUCGUCAUCGGAAUCCAAGUUUACCUAUAAAAAUAAAAUAAUUAUGUAUAUGAUUUAUUUGCCACGGUCGAAUUGCUGACGGGUCAUCGUUUAGCGUUUGGACGCUGGCAGUGGCCCAGUGGUAGUCGCCCUGGAUGCUUCGAGGCUCCCAAAAUGGCCUCGCCGUGAAUUGCCGGCCAGCAUGGAGUCUGCUUGGCCAUCGUCUAGGGUGCGAGCAGUGGUUUGGGCAGCGGAUGGAGCAUCUGACUACUGGAGUACGCAGCCGUCGCCGAGUCUGAAAAAUGGAAUCUCGCAAUGAGGCGACAGCAGGUAUACUUACAAUGCUGGCAAUGGCGGCCCAUCCUAAGAUUAGGAGGUUUGCUGCCGCCACUGCUGGGCUUUGUGUAUUUCGCUGGCGUCUCUGCUUGCAUCUGGACUUUUUCUCGGCUAUGUGCGCUGUAUGCGAUGCCUCAGCAGGCGGAUCUUCAUCGUCCAGCAGCCACUCCAAGCGCCUGCUCACCAGCUCCAGGCCGUUUUCAAGCGUCUCGUUUGCAGUUGCCGGCACCAAAAAUUAACGUGACACCUUGUGAUGGGUGGCUGCCCUCUGAUGAUAUCCAGAGCAUCACAUCUGGCGAGGAGGCCAUCUCUCAAGCGUUUUCGAAGCGUAUUUAUGGUCGAUUCGCAGAAACGUUCUGGCAGCUUUCUGCGCAGAAUUUGCUGCUCCUCCGCUGUGAUGUCCGGCAGUACCAGUUUUUGUAUUUGCACUGGCUGGCCACGUAUGUGAUCCAUAAUCUGCUGUCUGUAUAUCAGUUUGUCGCCGCCGCUGUGCAAGAUCGCGUUCUCGUUCCUCGUUCACUUUAGCUUCAUUAUACUCCUCUUGUAUGCGAAUCAGUGUUGGUAAUAAAGGCCGAAUCUGUUUUCUCAAAAUUUGCUGAUUGUUUCUUUGGUUUGAUUCAGCACGCAGGUGCUCGCCUUGCAUCUGCCGCAAGUGUGUUGCAUUUGUUGUAUUUGCAUUUAGCGCUGCGCUCAACGGCCUUAUGAAUUUGUCUAGCUGCUCCGUAUAUCUGGGCCUUUGCAGGCGUUGCACGACAAGUGGUUCUCUAACCAGCUUUGUCGCUUCUGGGUUUGGAUGUGCAGCCAGAGAAUUUGCAAAUCGUUCGCUGGCCACAUGGAACGCGCCAUCAAUUGUACACAGCUGCCGCUGCAAGCGAUUGAUUUGGAAAUUUGAGGUGAGAGCGCCCCAGAUGGACAGAGCAUACUUCCAUAUUGGCAUGAUGAGCUGCUUAACAAUCAUCAUUUUGCAGUCUUUUGCCAAUUUGCUGUUACGCCCAAUAAGCCAGCCCAAUUUAAUAGCUCUUGCUUUGGAUUUGACGCAUAAUCUUGUCCCGUGUGUGGCCAGCGUUAAUUUGCAGUCAAGUGUCACUCUCAGGUCACGCAGCAUGUAUAUGACAUGCGCUGUCUUUGUCGCGUUGAUCUUGAAGCACCAUUUCUUAGACCAUUUUACGAAAUGGUGCAGGUACUGUUGGGUCUCGUUUAUCGCAUUGGCCGGAUGAUCAGCGGAGCACAUGAUGACUGUGUCAUCCGCAUAUGUUGACAACAGCAUCGACCUUUCGUUUGGCUCGAGAUGGCGACGAUUUUGCGUGAGUAGUGGCAGCGGCAUGUCAGAGGAGUAAAUUGUAUAUAAAAUUGGGCCCAAGACGCUGCCCUGUAGGACACCAGCUGAUAUGCAGCCGACUCUGGAUGUUACUCC